RNAcentral lists this ribosomal RNA (229 nucleotides) under uncultured bacterium. Its description in RNAcentral is "partial 16S ribosomal RNA". It matches the Rfam family "Bacterial small subunit ribosomal RNA", at positions 355 to 600 of the family's 1533-position model. The record is from RNAcentral.
UGGGGAAUAUUGCACAAUGGGCGAAAGCCUGAUGCAGCAACGCCGCGUGAGUGAUGAAGGUCUUCGGAUUUGUAAAGCUCUGUCUUUUGGGACGAUAAUGACGGUACCAAAGGAGGAAGCCACGGCUAACUACGUGCCAGCAGCCGCGGUAAUACGUAGGUGGCGAGCGUUGUCCGGAUUUACUGGGCGUAAAGGGUGCGUAGGCGGAUGUUUAAGUGAGAUGUGAAAU